UAGGGAAUCUUCGGCAAUGGGGGGAACCCUGACCGAGCAACGCCGCGUGAGUGAAGAAGGUUUUCGGAUCGUAAAGCUCUGUUGUUAAGGAAGAACGAGUGUGAGAAUGGAAAGUUCAUGCUGUGACGGUACUUAACCAGAAAGGGACGGCUAACUACGUGCCAGCAGCCGCGGUAAUACGUAGGUCCCGAGCGUUGUCCGGAAUUACUGGGCGUAAAGGGUUCGCAGGCGGCAUGACAAGUCCGAUGUAAAAGGCGAAAGCUCAACUUUCGUAAGCAUCGGAAACUGUCAAGCUUGAGUGAAGGAGAGGAAAGUGGAAUUCCUAGUGUAGCGGUGGAAUGCGUAGAUAUUAGGAGGAAUACCGGUGGCGAAGGCGACUUGCUGGACUUCAACUGACGCUGAGGAACGAAAGCGUGGGUAGCAAACAGG
Molecule: ribosomal RNA, 429 nt
Filed under: Bacteroidota bacterium
Lineage: Bacteria; Pseudomonadati; Bacteroidota
Description: Bacteroidetes bacterium partial 16S ribosomal RNA
Rfam family: Bacterial small subunit ribosomal RNA
Source: RNAcentral